This 52-nucleotide transfer RNA is filed under the name Pinus albicaulis. RNAcentral's name for it is "partial tRNA-His". The record is from RNAcentral. Lineage: Eukaryota; Viridiplantae; Streptophyta; Pinopsida; Pinales; Pinaceae. RNAcentral also lists the same sequence under 1 other name.
GGCGGACGUAGCCAAGUGGACCAAGGCAGUGGAUUUGAAUCCACCAUGCGCG